This 389-nucleotide ribosomal RNA is filed under the name uncultured Acaulospora. Its description in RNAcentral is "SSU rRNA". It matches the Rfam family "Eukaryotic small subunit ribosomal RNA", at positions 569 to 956 of the family's 1831-position model. Lineage: Eukaryota; Fungi; Glomeromycota; Glomeromycetes; Diversisporales; Acaulosporaceae. The record is from RNAcentral.
AGCAGCCGCGGUAAUUCCAGCUCCAAUAGCGUAUAUUAAAGUUGUUGCAGUUAAAAAGCUCGUAGUUGAAUUUCGGGGUUCGAUACGUUGGUCGGGCUUUUUGGUUCUGUACUAGCGUAAUGGAUUCCUACCUUCUGAAUAACCGGCAUGCCAUUAAUUUGGUGCGCCGGGGAAGCAGGACUGUUACCUUGAAAAAAUUAGAGUGCUUAAAGCAGGCUAUCGCCUGAAUACAUUAGCAUGGAAUAAUGAAAUAGGACGGCAUGGUUCUAUUUUGUUGGUUUCUAGGAUCACCGUAAUGAUUAAUAGGGAUAGUUGGGGGCAUUAGUAUUCAAUUGUCAGAGGUGAAAUUCUUGGAUUUAUUGAAAGACUAACUUCUGCGAAAAGCAUUU